UUUAAAUUGAGAGUUUGAUCCUGGCUCAGGACGAACGCUGGCGGCGUGCCUAAUACAUGCAAGUCGAACGAAACUUUCUUACACCGAAUGCUUGCAUUCACCGUAAGAAGUUGAGUGGCGGACGGG
This 126-nucleotide ribosomal RNA is filed under the name Ligilactobacillus salivarius. RNAcentral's name for it is "partial 16S ribosomal RNA". It matches the Rfam family "Bacterial small subunit ribosomal RNA", at positions 1 to 106 of the family's 1533-position model. Lineage: Bacteria; Bacillati; Bacillota; Bacilli; Lactobacillales; Lactobacillaceae. The record is from RNAcentral.